AUGCUAUGAUGACUAACUUAGGACACCUUUGGAGGCUUGUUCCCAUGAAACAAAUCUAAAGUCUGAGCACU
Pelobates cultripes (western spadefoot toad) is the source of this 71-nucleotide non-coding RNA. Lineage: Eukaryota; Metazoa; Chordata; Amphibia; Anura; Pelobatidae. The record is from the annotation of a GenBank genome assembly.